RNAcentral lists this ribosomal RNA (422 nucleotides) under uncultured bacterium. Its description in RNAcentral is "bacterial SSU rRNA". It matches the Rfam family "Bacterial small subunit ribosomal RNA", at positions 355 to 794 of the family's 1533-position model. The record is from RNAcentral.
UGGGGAAUAUUGCACAAUGGGGGAAACCCUGAUGCAGCGACGCCGCGUGAGUGAAGAAGUAUUUCGGUAUGUAAAGCUCUAUCAGCAGGGAAGAAAAUGACGGUACCUGACUAAGAAGCCACGGCUAACUACGUGCCAGCAGCCGCGGUAAAACGUAGGUGGCAAGCGUUGUCCGGAAUUACUGGGUGUAAAGGGAGCGCAGGCGGAAGGACAAGUUGGAAGUGAAACCCACGGGCUCAACCCGUGAACUGCUUUCAAAACUGUUUUUCUUGAGUGGUGUAGAGGUAGGCGGAAUUCCCGGUGUAGCGGUGGAAUGCGUAGAUAUCGGGAGGAACACCAGUGGCGAAGGCGGCCUACUGGGCACUAACUGACGCUGAGGCUCGAAAGCAUGGGUAGCAAACAGGAUUAGAUACCCUGGUAGU